Molecule: ribosomal RNA, 433 nt
Filed under: uncultured bacterium
Lineage: Bacteria
Description: partial 16S ribosomal RNA
Rfam family: Bacterial small subunit ribosomal RNA
Source: RNAcentral
AACGAACGCUGGCGGCAUGCCUAACACAUGCAAGUCGAACGAGACCUUCGGGUCUAGUGGCGCACGGGUGCGUAACGCGUGGGAACCUGCCCUUAGGUUCGGAAUAACUCCCCGAAAGGGGUGCUAAUACCGGAUAAUGUCUUCGGACCAAAGAUUUAUCGCCUUUGGAUGGGCCCGCGUUGGAUUAGCUAGUUGGUAGGGUAAAAGCCUACCAAGGGGACGAUCCAUAGCUGGUCUGAGAGGAUGAUCAGCCACACUGGGACUGAGACACGGCCCAGACUCCUACGGGAGGCAGCAGUGGGGAAUAUUGGACAAUGGGCGAAAGCCUGAUCCAGCAAUGCCGCGUGAGUGAUGAAGGCCUUAGGGUUGUAAAGCUCUUUUACCCGGGAUGAUAAUGACAGUACCGGGAGAAUAAGCUCCGGCUAACUCCGUG